AGGACGAACGCUGGCGGCGUGCUUAACACAUGCAAGUCGAGCGGUAAGGCUCCUUCGGGAGUACACGAGCGGCGAACGGGUGAGUAACACGUGAGCAAUCUGCCCUUCACUUUGGGAUAACUUCCGGAAACGGAAGCUAAUACCGAAUACGACCAUUACAGACAUCUGUUGAUGGUGGAAAGUUCCGGCGGUGAAGGAUGAGCUCGCGGCCUAUCAGCUUGUUGGUGGGGUAAUGGCCCACCAAGGCGACGACGGGUAGCCGGCCUGAGAGGGUGACCGGCCACACUGGGACUGAGACACGGCCCAGACUCCUACGGGAGGCAGCAGUGGGGAAUAUUGGACAAUGGGCGAAAGCCUGAUCCAGCAACGCCGCGUGAGGGAUGACGGCCUUCGGGUUGUAAACCUCUUUCAGUAGGGACGAAUUAGACGGUACCUGCAGAAGAAGCACCGGCCAACUACGCGCCAGCAGCCGC
RNAcentral lists this ribosomal RNA (473 nucleotides) under uncultured bacterium. RNAcentral's name for it is "SSU rRNA". It matches the Rfam family "Bacterial small subunit ribosomal RNA", at positions 26 to 518 of the family's 1533-position model. The record is from RNAcentral.